RNAcentral lists this ribosomal RNA (301 nucleotides) under uncultured soil bacterium. RNAcentral's name for it is "bacterial SSU rRNA". It matches the Rfam family "Bacterial small subunit ribosomal RNA", at positions 58 to 369 of the family's 1533-position model. The record is from RNAcentral.
CAAGUCGGACGCUCCGCAAGGGGCGUGGCGCAAGGGUGAGUAAGGCGACGGCCACCAACCCUGAGGUUGGGCAUAGNNNNNNGAAACUGCGGGUAAUACCCAGCGAUGUCACGAGAGGACAUCCUUUUGUGACCAAAGGUGCGAUUCCGCCCUGGGACGGACCGUCGUGGUAUCAGCUAGAUGGCGGGGUAAUGGCCCACCAUGGCAUUGACGCCUACCGGGCGUGCGAGCGUGGCCCGGCACACUGGGACUGAGACACUGCCCAGACUCCUACGGGAGGCUGCAGUCGAGAAUCUUCGGC